UACGUAGGGAGCGAGCGUUAUCCGGAUUUAUUGGGUGUAAAGGGUGCGUAGGCGGUUUAAUAGGUCUAAGGUCUAAGUCCGAAGCUUAACUUCGGUUCGCCUUAGAAACCGUUUUACUUGAGUAUGGUAGAGGCAAGUGGAAUUUCUAGUGUAGCGGUUAAAUGCGUAGAUAUUAGAAGGAACACCAGUGGCGAAGGCGACUUGCUGGGCCAUUACUGACGCUGAGGCACGAAAGCGUGGGGAGCAAAUAGG
Molecule: ribosomal RNA, 252 nt
Filed under: uncultured bacterium
Lineage: Bacteria
Description: partial 16S ribosomal RNA
Rfam family: Bacterial small subunit ribosomal RNA
Source: RNAcentral